CCACCAAGGCCCCCACCCCACCAAAGACACGGCGCUUCCGCCCCUCCCACUGCGCUACGCUACACCCUGUCCCCGCGCGCGAGUUCCCCCUCAGACGCACCCCAGCAGCGCCGCGGGCCCCCACUGAAGCACUCGGAUGGAGAACAGGCUCGUCACCGUCGAGCACAGAGCGGUGCUUCUGCUCCUCUGCGUCCUGCUGGGGACGGGGACCAGCUCAGCCACAGAGACAGGAGAGGGCGCAGGCCCCCCCAAGACCAGCGGGAACCAGGCAACAACACCACCCUCCAGUGGGACCCCAUCACAGCACCCCACAAACUGGACACCCCUCCUUGUCCGUAACCCAAAACAGCCGCCUACAGGGACCUAUGACAUCAUCGACCGCAACGGCUCAGAGUGCCUCAAAGCUCAAAUGGGGGUGCAGUACAAAGUCACCGAGAACAAGAACACGCUGUAUUUCAAUAUCGACCCCUCCUCCACCAGGGGAACCGGACAGUGUGGACCAAAGACUUCCAAUCUGACCCUGAAUUUCCCUGGGGGGCGUCUGGACUUCACCUUUCGCGAGGAAGAAAAGAUGUCAUACGUGACUACAGUCCGAGCCAGUUUGGAAACAUCCGUCUGCAAAGACUGCAAGCGAGAGCUCUUCGAAGGCGUAAUCACCGAAGCGAUGUUGUUCAAGGUCAGCGCUGGACGUUGCUACAAGUGUGACGCCUGGACGACACUUCAGUUCGCCGAGAACCUCAGCGUCAAGAUUACAAACGCUAAGAUUCAAGCGUCUGGAAUAACCGGCAGCAAAUUUGGAACGGAGGAAGAGUGCUGGACUGACUUCAACAGACGGGUCAUCCCGAUCGUUUUAGGGGGGGCGGCUGUGGGGAUCUGCCUAAUUGCCGUCCUCACCUACCUGAUUAUCCGAGACAACAGUGCGCAAGGCUACGAGAGACUUUAAGGCAACGCGGCGGUGGCUGUCCGCCAUCGCAGGGAUAAGCGACUCCACGGGGGGCUGCUUUCUGUUUUCACCUUAAAAUCAGCAACCGUUUCACACCCAAGAAAGCAGGCGAGGUGAGGAUAAGAGUGUAAUCGAUGGCUUUAACUGAUCCUUUAAGUGCUGCGCCCCCUGCUGGUCUCCACCCGGAGCUGCAGGUCCCUGCUCCCUCAGAUCCGAUCAUUCAGAGCAGGCACUCUCAACCCAGGUGCUGCAGAGCCACAGUCUGCUGCUGUCUUACUCCACACCUCACUGGUCAGAUAAAACGGUUGAUUACACAGGUAACACACCUCGCCUGGCCUCCUGCGACUGAACUGGGGGGUAUUUCAGGGAGCAGGACACUGGGUUAGCUGGAUCACCGCGCUGAGUACAACCCGGAACAGCUCUCUUUACUUCAGUCCAUGUUCCAGAUUUUGGGAUGGUUCUGGGUUUUACUCAGCGCAGUUAUCCAGCUAACCCAGUUAUCCUGCUUUGUGAAACACCCCCCUGCUUGGUCACACAGACUGUUAAGUUACUGUUUUUCUUGCUCUGAAUCAGCUGCUGAUCUUGAGAUGAGAACAUAAGCCAGCGAACGCUGCACCUCUCCAGUAGCAGGUCUGAGGACCUCCAGUUUAAACUGUCAAUGUCUGCACAUGACCCAUGUGUCUGUGUGAAGGCUUCACAUCAGUGCUCUCCAGGACCAGGGUUGGAGACCACUGCUUCACACAGACUGCCGUGACCUUCCUCUGCAGCAGGAACUGCAGGGAGAAUAGUUUCUGGCAGCCAAUUAAACAAUAAGGUGAAUGAACUGCAGUCUCAACAAAAACAGUUCACAGUGAGUUUUUCUACGAAACAAGUGUUUAUGGGUGCAUGGUCUCUGACUCCAGUCCUGGAGGGGGCGCUGUGUCUGGGUUUGUGUGGAUUCCUUUCAGUUAACAGCCUAUUAAAGCCUUGGAAACAAGGCAUGUGGACUUUGUAGCCAAUCUAAUGACUUCAAUUAUGCACAGAAAACCAGCAGAUGCUGCUGAAAUACCUGUGAAGAGCUUGUAUUGUAAGUUCCAUCUGCUUGUACAGCCGGUUUGAGAUCAAGCAUUACUAUUUUCAUUAUUGUUUUACAUCUAAAAUUACUUUCAACAUGUUAAAAUUAAUUUUCAUUGAAGUGAAAAUAUUACGAGAUUAUGAAUGCUGACUGUUUGUAAAUUUUAUGUGCAAUACUGUUCAUGUGAUUAGCAUAAGGAAACGGCCCUGAACAAAUACAGAUAAUAAUAAAAAAAUGAUG
This is an RNA transcript of Anguilla anguilla (European eel), 2237 nucleotides long. It is a transcript of the gene named lysosome-associated membrane glycoprotein 3, with no coding region annotated. Lineage: Eukaryota; Metazoa; Chordata; Actinopteri; Anguilliformes; Anguillidae. The transcript has 7 exons. The record is from RefSeq and is a predicted model, not a curated record.